AUACAUGUCACGUUAAAUCUGUUAGGUUCUGUUGAAAUUUUCAUAAAUUUAAUAAAAUUCCAACAGAACCUAACGGAUUUGACGUGACAUGUAU
Molecule: microRNA precursor, 94 nt
Filed under: Prunus dulcis (almond)
Lineage: Eukaryota; Viridiplantae; Streptophyta; Magnoliopsida; Rosales; Rosaceae
Description: sRNA ncRNA
Source: RNAcentral